UACGUAGGUGGCGAGCGUUGUCCGGAUUUAUUGGGUUUAAAGGGUGCGUAGGCGGUCCUAUAAGUCAGUGGUGAAAUAUCGCAGCUCAACUGUGAGGGUGCCAUUGAUACUGUAGGACUUGAGUGAAUUUGAGGUAGGCGGAAUUGACGGUGUAGCGGUGAAAUGCUUAGAUAUCGUCAAGAACACCGAUAGUGAAGACAGCUUACCAAGCUUCAACUGACGCUGAGGCACGAAAGUGUGGGGUUCAAACAGG
RNAcentral lists this ribosomal RNA (253 nucleotides) under uncultured bacterium. Its description in RNAcentral is "partial 16S ribosomal RNA". It matches the Rfam family "Bacterial small subunit ribosomal RNA", at positions 524 to 776 of the family's 1533-position model. The record is from RNAcentral.